AGUGGCGGGAGCGGCCCCUCGGCCAUCCUCCGUCUGCCCAGUUACCGCUUCCGCUACCGC
Molecule: microRNA precursor, 60 nt
Filed under: Dasypus novemcinctus (nine-banded armadillo)
Lineage: Eukaryota; Metazoa; Chordata; Mammalia; Cingulata; Dasypodidae
Also listed under: 10 other names
Description: Dno-Mir-935-v1_pre stem-loop
Source: RNAcentral